ACACAUGCAAGUCGAACGGUAACAGGAAGCAGCUUGCUGCUUCGCUGACGAGUGGCGGACGGGUGAGUAAUGUCUGGGAAACUGCCUGAUGGAGGGGGAUAACUACUGGAAACGGUAGCUAAUACCGCAUAACGUCGCAAGACCAAAGAGGGGGACCUUCGGGCCUCUUGCCAUCGGAUGUGCCCAGAUGGGAUUAGCUAGUAGGUGGGGUAACGGCUCACCUAGGCGACGAUCCCUAGCUGGUCUGAGAGGAUGACCAGCCACACUGGAACUGAGACACGGUCCAGACUCCUACGGGAGGCAGCAGUGGGGAAUAUUGCACAAUGGGCGCAAGCCUGAUGCAGCCAUGCCGCGUGUAUGAAGAAGGCCUUCGGGUUGUAAAGUACUUUCAGCGGGGAGGAAGGCGAUAAGGUUAAUAACCUUGUCGAUUGACGUUACCCGCAGAAGAAGCACCGGCUAACUCCGUGCCAGCAGCCGCGGUAAUACGGAGGGUGCAAGCGUUAAUCGGAAUUACUGGGCGUAAAGCGCACGCAGGCGGUCUGUCAAGUCGGAUGUGAAAUCCCCGGGCUCAACCUGGGAACUGCAUUCGAAACUGGCAGGCUAGAGUCUUGUAGAGGGGGGUAGAAUUCCAGGUGUAGCGGUGAAAUGCGUAGAGAUGCUGGAGGAAUACCGGUGGCGAAGGCGGCCCCCUGGACAAAGACUGACGCUCAGG
Molecule: ribosomal RNA, 712 nt
Filed under: Enterobacter hormaechei
Lineage: Bacteria; Pseudomonadati; Pseudomonadota; Gammaproteobacteria; Enterobacterales; Enterobacteriaceae
Description: bacterial SSU rRNA
Rfam family: Bacterial small subunit ribosomal RNA
Source: RNAcentral